GGAUUUUUCCUCCCUGAUGACUUUUGUCUGGUUUAGAGUCCGUGAACCAACCCCAAAAUAUAAACCAUUUCUGAAAAUUCAGUUUUCAUUGAAAAUUUUGAACAAAAAAUAGAUUCACUCUUGUGGUGUUUGAAAAGUCUUUUCACUCAAUUCAGAAACAAGCUACCUAAGGGAGAGUUCAUGUGUUAGGCCGAGGGCAUGGAGACUAAUCCUUGAGCUCUAUUACCACUCUGGCUAUUGAGGAGCUUUAAUAGUUCAACAUCGUUGCCCCUUUUUUCCCAGUUGGGGAAACGGAAGCUCUCAGAUGUGACUUGCCCAAGAUCACCCGCUAAGGAGCAGCCAGCAUUGCGAUACGCACACAUUGACAACCAAGCCUUCUGGGUCAGAGUGUGGAUUCUACACUUGUGUAGAAGAAACACCAGGUAAAAGAGACAGAUUAGAAAUAUGUAGUGAUGGUUGCACAAAAAAGGGGCAUCUCUGUGGACAUUUGUGUUCAAAGAUGUGCAACAUCUAGUUUCCUCCUGUAGGCUAUGUGCUUUACUAACUCAACGCAGACUGCUGGCAAGACAUGCAUGAUAGGUCAUCGGAACGAUUCAUCGCAGAGCACAAGAUACACACGUGUAAUCUAAGAAGACAAAGCUAGAGCCCAGAUGUCCUUUUCCUCGGUCACAAAGAAAGAAAGCCAGAAACAAAACAGGGACCAAACCAAAGCUUUUUUAGUAUGUAUAUUUGUGCUGAAUAUAAAAAGACAGAUGUGAAACUUACAUAGCAUGGCUAAUAGUUCAACAGGAAGUAAGCAAUCUUGUCUUCUACCAAGAAAAAUAAGAUGUCCUGAAGAAAAUACAAUCCUGUCAAUGGCUAUCCUCAGAAGCACCAUACUGGACUAGGACCACCAUUGGUCUGUUCCAAUAUUCCUGUGUUCCUCUGUGUCCUAGAGCUAACAUCCCUGGGGAAACUUUUCACAUGCUCCAAAUCCUAUUUGUCUGUGUGAUCUAAUCAAUGCAGACUAUGCGGGAGUAUGCUCCAAUAUACACAAUAUAGAAUCAAGCCAAAAGCCAACUGAAUAUGGUUGUUGACGAAGACCACCCCUGUUUAAUCUAAGCAAAUGCUAUGUGUGGUCAUGUUCUACUGAAAGAAGAUAACAUACGGUACCAAUAUUGAAACUUAUUUAUUGCAUCUGGCAUAGUAUCAAGAAUGACUGUUAUCAAGGAAUUAACCUUCAAUACCU
This 1228-nucleotide long non-coding RNA is filed under the name Chrysemys picta bellii (western painted turtle). RNAcentral's name for it is "lncRNA (ENSCPBG00000000250.1)". The record is from RNAcentral. Lineage: Eukaryota; Metazoa; Chordata; Testudines; Emydidae.